UACGAAGGGGGCUAGCGUUGCUCGGAAUGACUGGGCGUAAAGGGCGCGUAGGCGGAUUGUACAGUCAGGCGUGAAAUUCCCGGGCUCAACCUGGGGGCUGCGCUUGAGACGUGCGAUCUUGAGUGGGGAAGAGGGUCGUGGAAUUCCCAGUGUAGAGGUGAAAUUCGUAGAUAUUGGGAAGAACACCGGUGGCGAAGGCGGCUCACUGGCUCGUAUCUGACGCUCAGGCGCGACAGCGUGGGGAUCAAACAGG
Molecule: ribosomal RNA, 253 nt
Filed under: uncultured bacterium
Lineage: Bacteria
Description: partial 16S ribosomal RNA
Rfam family: Bacterial small subunit ribosomal RNA
Source: RNAcentral